Molecule: unclassified non-coding RNA, 329 nt
Filed under: soil metagenome
Description: partial contains 5.8S ribosomal RNA, internal transcribed spacer 2, and large subunit ribosomal RNA
Rfam family: 5.8S ribosomal RNA (bases 1-120)
Source: RNAcentral
GAUGAAGAACGUAGCGAAAUGCGAUAAGUAGUGUGAAUUGCAGAAUUCAGUGAAUCAUCGAAUCUUUGAACGCACAUUGCGCCCUCUGGUAUUCCGGGGGGCAUGCCUGUUCGAGCGUCAUUUCACCACUCAAGCCUGGCUUGGUGUUGGGCGACGUCCCCUUUGGGGACGCGCCUCGAAACGCUCGGCGGCGUGGCACCGGCUUUAAGCGUAGCAGAAUCUUUCGCUUUGGAAGUCGGGGCCCCGUCUGCCGGAAGACCUACUCGCAAGGUUGACCUCGGAUCAGGCAGGGAUACCCGCUGAACUUAAGCAUAUCAAUAAGCGGAGGA